RNAcentral lists this ribosomal RNA (492 nucleotides) under uncultured bacterium. RNAcentral's name for it is "partial 16S ribosomal RNA". It matches the Rfam family "Bacterial small subunit ribosomal RNA", at positions 29 to 507 of the family's 1533-position model. The record is from RNAcentral.
AGUGAACGCUGGCGGUAGGCCUAACACAUGCAAGUCGAACGGCAGCACAGUAAGAGCUUGCUCUUACGGGUGGCGAGUGGCGGACGGGUGAGGAAUACAUCGGAAUCUACUUUUUCGUGGGGGAUAACGUAGGGAAACUUACGCUAAUACCGCAUACGACCUACGGGUGAAAGCAGGGGAUCUUCGGACCUUGCGCGAUUGAAUGAGCCGAUGUCGGAUUAGCUAGUUGGCGGGGUAAAGGCCCACCAAGGCGACGAUCCGUAGCUGGUCUGAGAGGAUGGACGGCCACACUGGAACGGAAGACCGGUCCAACCUCCUACGGGGGGACACAGUGGGGAAUUUUGGAAAAUGGGGGGAAGCCGGAACCAGCCAUACCCGGGGGGGAAAAAAGGCCUUGGGGUUGGAAAGCCCGUUUGUUGGGAAAGAAAAGGAGGAGGGUAAAAACCCGCUGUUCUGACGGUACCCAAAGAAUAAGCACCGGCUAACUUCGUG